UAGGGAAUCUUCCACAAUGGACGCAAGUCUGAUGGAGCAACGCCGCGUGAGUGAAGAAGGUCUUCGGAUCGUAAAGCUCUGUUGUUGGUGAAGAAGGAUAGAGGCAGUAACUGGUCUUUAUUUGACGGUAAUCAACCAGAAAGUCACGGCUAACUACGUGCCAGCAGCCGCGGUAAUACGUAGGUGGCAAGCGUUGUCCGGAUUUAUUGGGCGUAAAGCGAGCGCAGGCGGAAUGAUAAGUCUGAUGUGAAAGCCCACGGCUCAACCGUGGAACUGCAUCGGAAACUGUCAUUCUUGAGUGCAGAAGAGGAGAGUGGAACUCCAUGUGUAGCGGUGGAAUGCGUAGAUAUAUGGAAGAACACCAGUGGCGAAGGCGGCUCUCUGGUCUGCAACUGACGCUGAGGCUCGAAAGCAUGGGUAGCGAGCAGGAUUAGAUACCCUGGUAGUCCAUGCCGUAAACGAUGAGCGCUAGGUGUUGGGGACUUUCCGGUCCUCAGUGCCGCAGCAAACGCAUUAAGCGCUCCGCCUGGGGAGUACGACCGCAAGGUUGAAAC
This 554-nucleotide ribosomal RNA is filed under the name uncultured bacterium. Its description in RNAcentral is "partial 16S ribosomal RNA". It matches the Rfam family "Bacterial small subunit ribosomal RNA", at positions 355 to 900 of the family's 1533-position model. The record is from RNAcentral.